GACGAACGCUGGCGGCGUGCUUAACACAUGCAAGUCGAACGGAAAGGCCCUGCUUUUGUGGGGUGCUCGAGUGGCGAACGGGUGAGUAACACGUGAGUAACCUGCCCUUGACUUUGGGAUAACUUCAGGAAACUGGGGCUAAUACCGGAUAGGAGCUCCUGCUGCAUGGUGGGGGUUGGAAAGUUUCGGCGGUUGGGGAUGGACUCGCGGCUUAUCAGCUUGUUGGUGGGGUAGUGGCUUACCAAGGCUUUGACGGGUAGCCGGCCUGAGAGGGUGACCGGCCACAUUGGGACUGGGAUACGGCCCAGACUCCUACGGGAGGCAGCAGUGGGGAAUAUUGCACAAUGGGCGGAAGCCUGAUGCAGCAACGCCGCGUGCGGGAUGACGGCCUUCGGGUUGUAAACCGCUUUCGCCUGUGGCGAAGCGUGAGUGACGGUAAUGGGUAAAGAAGCACCGGCUAACUACGU
RNAcentral lists this ribosomal RNA (467 nucleotides) under uncultured bacterium. RNAcentral's name for it is "partial 16S ribosomal RNA". It matches the Rfam family "Bacterial small subunit ribosomal RNA", at positions 28 to 506 of the family's 1533-position model. The record is from RNAcentral.